GGAGCAAAACUCAAAAAAAUAAGUCUCAGUUCGGAUUGAAGGCUGAAAUUCGCCUUCAUGAAGCCGGAAUUGCUAGUAAUGGCAGGUCAGCAUACUGCCGUGAAUACGUUCCCGGGCCUUGUACACACCGCCCGUCACACCAUGAGAGUUGGGAAUACCCGAAGCCUGUGAGCUAACUUUUAGAGGCAGCAGUCGAAGGUAGAAUCAAUGAUUGGGGUGAAGUCGUAACAAGGUAAC
RNAcentral lists this ribosomal RNA (237 nucleotides) under uncultured bacterium. Its description in RNAcentral is "partial 16S ribosomal RNA". It matches the Rfam family "Bacterial small subunit ribosomal RNA", at positions 1264 to 1500 of the family's 1533-position model. The record is from RNAcentral.